UGGGUGUUAAACAAAUAUUAUAUUUAAAUCGCAUCGUUGAAAAUGAAUAAUAUUUUUAGAUUCUGAUUGGUAAAGGAAAAAUUUUUCUUGAAAAAUCCUAAUCACAUUAGAUUAUUUUCGGUGAUUCCUUAUGGAUAUAAUCGUAAAAACAAUAAAAUGUCAACAGAAAUAUUCCUAUUUCGUUUCCCAACUCUAAAAUCACACAUACAUGUUAUCAACAAAAAAAAAAAAAAUUUAAUGUUGGUACCAAUUAAUAUUGUAUUAUGAUAGGUAUUUUGUUGACUCUAUGUAAAAAUGCGAUGUUAUGAUAAUAUAUGCAUUAACCUGUGUAUGUUUUUAGACACUUAAAUAUUGUUUAGUUUCAUGGCUUAUCGUCGUAAUAUGUUUUGUCCUUCUGGUAAAUACUGUGUGUACGUCCACACUGCAUAAAUCCUUAACUGGCCUUAUACGUAAGAUUACCGUAUUAGAGCAAUGACGUACGUAUAGAGAUAAUAAUAUUUUCGACAAUUACUCAUUCGACGGUUAUAUUCGUUAUUAAUUAUUUUCGAUAGAAAUAUCUUGAUUUUUUGUUUUAUCUUAUCCAAUCUGGUGAUCUCUAUAAAUGUCUCAUCUUUAUAUUUUGGCACACUCUAUACAUGGUGAUAUACCGAUAGAUAACGUAUAUUAACUAUACAGAAAUAAAAACAUUAUAGCAUUUUGUAAAAGAAUUGUACUUGAAUCGUAGACAUAAAUAUACGAACGGUAUAAUACACGCACAAGUAUUUUUUAUUAUUUUUUGUUUUCAUUUAAAUCUACAAAUGCGUAUGUUUUUGCAGUGUUUUGAUGAAUAUUGCAACGAUAGAUUUUUUUAUGCGAUUGUAUUUUCGUAGGCGUGGCAAUAGUUUUCGCAAGUGGUGUACGCCGAGCUACUGUUUAAUUCGAAAUCGUGCAGACCGUCUCGUAUAUUGGUUUGUAAUUAAUUCGUCGUUGGCCGUGUUUUUAAUUACCUAUUUACCGUGACUAAUUUGGUAAUGGACAAUAAUGGUAUUUGCAACAAUUAUAAUCGGGCACGUGACUCUCGUAGACGUCAAUAUAUUAGAGAUGUGGAAGGGCGUUCUGGAAGGUUAGACAAAUAGUUCCAAUAAUUGAUUAGAAUAAUUAUAAUAGCAUAAUGUUUAGAAUUGACAAAUUUACAUUUUUGCGCAUGCUAAUAU
Molecule: non-coding RNA, 1193 nt
Organism: Cinara cedri
Lineage: Eukaryota; Metazoa; Arthropoda; Insecta; Hemiptera; Aphididae
Source: the annotation of a GenBank genome assembly